This 94-nucleotide transfer RNA is filed under the name Vigna radiata var. radiata (mung bean). RNAcentral's name for it is "tRNA tRNA-Tyr". It matches the Rfam family "tRNA". Rfam says of the family: Transfer RNA (tRNA) molecules are approximately 80 nucleotides in length. Their secondary structure includes four short double-helical elements and three loops (D, anti-codon, and T loops). Further hydrogen bonds mediate the characteristic L-shaped molecular structure. tRNAs have two regions of fundamental functional importance: the anti-codon, which is responsible for specific mRNA codon recognition, and the 3' end, to which the tRNAs corresponding amino acid is attached (by aminoacyl-tRNA synthetases). tRNAs cope with the degeneracy of the genetic code in two manners: having more than one tRNA (with a specific anti-codon) for a particular amino acid; and 'wobble' base-pairing, i.e. permitting non-standard base-pairing at the 3rd anti-codon position. Lineage: Eukaryota; Viridiplantae; Streptophyta; Magnoliopsida; Fabales; Fabaceae. The record is from Rfam by way of RNAcentral.
CCGACCUUAGCUCAGUUGGUAGAGCGGAGGACCGUAGUUGGUAAAGUGCUAGAUAGCAAUCCUUAGGUCGCUGGUUCGAAUCCGGCAGGUCGGA